GUGGUAACACCUUUUUGUUAAAUAAAAAAUUAUAUAAAACAAUUGUUAUAUUCUACCGUUGAAUUCUAAAUCUGAGCUUUUAAAGUACAGAAAAUGUUUCAUAUAUUUCACAUGAUAUCAGAAUAAAAAAUUUUAAAUUUAAAUCACGUCAGACUUCUAACAUUAUUAAUUUUUUUAUAUUUAAUUCAAAUUCACGUCAUAGGCUUGCGAAAAGUUUCAAGCCAAGACGAGAAUAAAGUGUUAAAUAUAAAAAUAUUUAAAACACCAUUCUCAACCGAUUUAAGUUUUUAGAAUAUGACGGUUGUUUUAUAUAAUUUUACACUUUUUGAGAGAGAGAGAGAUAUUGAAUUAUUCAUUUCGUUUAUUUUUUAAAAUAAUUUAAUUAGAAAUAUAAAAUAAUUAAAUUUUGAAUUUAAAUUUUUUAGAUACCAAU
RNAcentral lists this long non-coding RNA (433 nucleotides) under Ananas comosus (pineapple). RNAcentral's name for it is "long non-coding RNA (ACOM_LNC015828)". Lineage: Eukaryota; Viridiplantae; Streptophyta; Magnoliopsida; Poales; Bromeliaceae. The record is from RNAcentral.